Molecule: transfer RNA, 72 nt
Filed under: Cordylochernes scorpioides
Lineage: Eukaryota; Metazoa; Arthropoda; Arachnida; Pseudoscorpiones; Chernetidae
Description: tRNA-Phe
Source: RNAcentral
UGCCGUAACCCGGGAUCAAACCAGAGAUUUUAGAUCUUCAGUCUAACACUCUCCCAACUGAGCUAUUUUGGC